This 137-nucleotide ribosomal RNA is filed under the name uncultured bacterium. RNAcentral's name for it is "partial 16S ribosomal RNA". It matches the Rfam family "Bacterial small subunit ribosomal RNA", at positions 397 to 526 of the family's 1533-position model. The record is from RNAcentral.
CCGCGUGUGUGAAGAAGGCCUUCGGGUUGUAAAGCUCUUUUGUCCGGGAAGAAAUUGUUCUGGCUAAUACCUGGGGUACAUGACGGUACCGGAAGAAUAAGCACCGGCUAACUACGUGCCAGCAGCCGCGGUAAUAA